UACCAGCUCUCCGAGUGGUGUGGAUGUUUAUUGGGCCUAAAGCAUCCGUAGCUGGCUGGGCAAGUCCCCUGUUAAAUCCACCGAUUUAAUCGUUGGUGUGCGGGGGAUACUGUUCGGCUAGGGGACGGGAGAGGCCGACGGUAUUUUCGGGGUAGGGGUGAAAUCCUAUAAUCCCGGGAAGACCACCAGUGGCGAAGGCUGUCGGCUAGAACGCGCCCGACGGUGAGGGAUGAAAGCCGGGGGAGCGAACCGGAUUAGAUACCCGGGUAGUCCCAGCUGUAAACGAUGCAGGCUAGGUGUUUGGGCGGCCACGUGCCGCUCUAGUGCCGCAGAGAAGUCGUUAAGCCUGCCGCCUGGGGAGUACGGCCGCAAGGCUGAAACUUAAAGGAAUUGGCGGGGGAGCACCACAAGGGGUGAAGCUUGCGGUUU
Molecule: ribosomal RNA, 429 nt
Filed under: uncultured archaeon
Lineage: Archaea
Description: bacterial SSU rRNA
Rfam family: Archaeal small subunit ribosomal RNA
Source: RNAcentral